Long non-coding RNA from Metopolophium dirhodum (rose-grain aphid), 699 nucleotides. RefSeq lists it as uncharacterized. Lineage: Eukaryota; Metazoa; Arthropoda; Insecta; Hemiptera; Aphididae. The transcript has 3 exons. The record is from RefSeq and is a predicted model, not a curated record.
UGCGUGGUGUUGUGGCCCGACCGAGAAGAAAAGAAUAAAAUCGAACACUACCUAUAAUACCACCACAUAUUAUUGUUAUUAUUGUUAUUAUAGACAACACACACAGCGACAACAGUGGCACGAACUCACUCCGGUCGACGACGAUGACGAACGGCUGCGGUCGCGGUGCGGAAUUCGACAACAUUAAUUUGUCAGAGGAGCAAACAUGGAUUAAAAACGGGUUGAGCGACGCAAACGAUUUGAUAUUUUCGCACGCACUCGAAAUUUCGACGCCGAGUUUCGGCCGUGGACGACGGAAGCGCCACCGGUGUGUACGGGCCGCGACGUUAUCGCGACUCGGAUGGUUUUCUACGCACUUACGAAAUCGUCGAAAACAGAAUAAUAAUUUAUUAAAUCUUAAACACAGUUGUAAAUUAUAAAAAUAUGAUUAACGAUUUACGAGUUUUAGGCAUUGUUUUUCUUUUUCAUUCCCUGCGACAACGACGACGGCCUGGCGAAUCGAACCACCAACCAUUGGACGUCCAUUGAGUAGUGUGCGGACAUUUUAAUAUAAUAUAUUUAUGUCGGUUAAUUUUAGUUGAUCAUCUUCAACGACCAUCUCGAUUCUUUUGUUUUAAUCAUAGUAAAAUUAACACAUAACGGUUUUCUGAUGCGAGUUCUACACACACAGUAAUUGAAAUCGUUCUGUGUAUUAAAAGG